RNAcentral lists this long non-coding RNA (513 nucleotides) under Equus caballus (horse). RNAcentral describes it as "lncRNA (ENSECAG00000041800.2)". Lineage: Eukaryota; Metazoa; Chordata; Mammalia; Perissodactyla; Equidae. The record is from RNAcentral.
GUGGAAAGCUUCAGAGAUAACUAAAGGGCUUAAGACUGGAAACUGAAGAACUCAGAAGCUCAGGAUCUCAGAGAGGAUGCUGACUGGUGAUGUCUGACCCUCGUUAAGUGUCUGGAUUUGGUUGUGGAUCUUGGGGAGAACAGCACCCUCUUGAAAGAGCUAGAGCCAUAUUCCUGUAGUCCUCCUAAUGCUCUCUGCCUCUCUGAUGACCACUGGUUUGAAAUGCCAAGUUAUCCACUUCUCCACGGCAAUAUUUAUAUUAUCCUACUGAUGUUAACCAGACCUGCUACUCACAAGUCCUCUCCCAAUCCCGGCCCAAUUUAAGGUUGCUUCUGGUGAAGAGAGUCACUUUGAGAAGGCUGGAACUGAUUGCUGCACUCGCCUCUGACCACCCAGCUCACCUGUGACCACCCAGCUCAAGACAACAGACGUGCCACCCUGCUGUGUCCACCGAGACAGCAGAUCUACCUGCUGUUUCCAUCAAUUGCUGUGCCGACAGAGCAGCCUUGCGAC